GUGAGGAAUAUUGCGCAAUGGAGGCAACUCUGACGCAGCCAUGCCGCGUGCAGGAAGAAGGCGCUACGCGUUGUAAACUGCUUUUAACCGGGAAGAAACCCCAGGACGUGUCCUGGGUUGACGGUACCAGAGGAAUAAGCACCGGCUAACUUCGUGCCAGCAGCCGCGGGAAUACGAAGGGUGCAAGCGUUAUCCGGCUUCAUUGGGUUUAAAGGGUGCGUAGGCGGAGCGUUAAGUCAGUGGUGAAAUCCUGCAGCUUAACUGUAGACUUGCCAUUGAUACUGGCGCUCUUGAGUGCGCUUGAAGUGGGCGGAAUGUGCCGUGUAGCGGUGAAAUGCUUAGAUAUGGCACAGAACACCAAUUGCGAAGGCAGCUCACUAAGGCGAUACUGACGCUGAGGCACGAAAGCGUGGGGAUCGAACAGGAUUAGAAACCCGGGUAGUCC
This 445-nucleotide ribosomal RNA is filed under the name uncultured bacterium. RNAcentral describes it as "partial 16S ribosomal RNA". It matches the Rfam family "Bacterial small subunit ribosomal RNA", at positions 354 to 796 of the family's 1533-position model. The record is from RNAcentral.